GAUGAACGCUAGCUCCAGGCUUAACACAUGCAAGUCGAGGGGAAACGGCAUCGAAAGCUUGCUUUUGAUGGGCGUCGACCGGCGCACGGGUGAGUAACGCGUAUCCAACCUACCCAUCACUUGGGAAUAACCUUGCGAAAGUAAGACUAAUGCCCAAUGACAUCCCACGAAGGCAUCCGAAUGGGAUUAAAGAUUUAUCGGUGAUGGAUGGGGAUGCGUCUGAUUAGCUUGUUGGCGGGGUGACGGCCCACCAAGGCAACGAUCAGUAGGGGUUCUGAGAGGAAGGUCCCCCACAUUGGAACUGAGACACGGUCCAAACUCCUACGGGAGGCAGCAGUGAGGAAUAUUGGUCAAUGGGCGAGAGCCUGAACCAGCCAAGUAGCGUGCAGGAUGACGGCCCUAUGGGUGGUAAACUGCUUUUAUAAGGGAAUAAAGUGGGUCACGUGUGACUUUUUGCAUGUACCUUAUGAAUAAGGACCGGCUAAUUCCGUG
RNAcentral lists this ribosomal RNA (492 nucleotides) under uncultured bacterium. Its description in RNAcentral is "partial 16S ribosomal RNA". It matches the Rfam family "Bacterial small subunit ribosomal RNA", at positions 28 to 507 of the family's 1533-position model. The record is from RNAcentral.